RNAcentral lists this ribosomal RNA (402 nucleotides) under uncultured prokaryote. Its description in RNAcentral is "bacterial SSU rRNA". It matches the Rfam family "Bacterial small subunit ribosomal RNA", at positions 355 to 774 of the family's 1533-position model. The record is from RNAcentral.
UGGGGAAUAUUGGACAAUGGGCGCAAGCCUGAUCCAGCCAUGCCGCGUGAGUGAUGAAGGCCUUAGGGUUGUAAAGCUCUUUCAGUGGGGACGAUAAUGACGGUACCCACAGAAGAAGCCCCGGCUAACUUCGUGCCAGCAGCCGCGGUAAUACGAAGGGGGCUAGCGUUGUUCGGAUUUACUGGGCGUAAAGCGCACGUAGGCGGAUCGUUAAGUCGGGGGUGAAAUCCUGGAGCUCAACUCCAGAACUGCCUUCGAUACUGGCGAUCUUGAGUCCGGAAGAGGUGAGUGGAACUCCUAGUGUAGAGGUGGAAUUCGUAGAUAUGAGGAAGAACACCAGUGGCGAAGGCGGCUCACUGGUCCGGUACUGACGCUGAGGUGCGAAAGCGUGGGGAGCAAACA